UACGUAUGGUGCAAGCGUUAUCCGGAUUUACUGGGUGUAAAGGGAGCGCAGGCGGCACGGCAAGCCUGAUGUGAAAGCCCGCGGCCCAACCGCGGGACUGCAUUGGGAACUACCGGGCUGGAGUGCCGGAGAGGUAGGCGGAAUUCCUAGUGUAGCGGUGAAAUGCGUAGAUAUUAGGAGGAACACCAGUGGCGAAGGCGGCCUGCUGGACGGUGACUGACGCUGAGGCUCGAAAGCGUGGGGAGCAAACAGG
This 253-nucleotide ribosomal RNA is filed under the name uncultured bacterium. RNAcentral's name for it is "partial 16S ribosomal RNA". It matches the Rfam family "Bacterial small subunit ribosomal RNA", at positions 524 to 776 of the family's 1533-position model. The record is from RNAcentral.